This 331-nucleotide ribosomal RNA is filed under the name uncultured eukaryote. RNAcentral's name for it is "partial 18S ribosomal RNA". It matches the Rfam family "Eukaryotic small subunit ribosomal RNA", at positions 1470 to 1796 of the family's 1831-position model. The record is from RNAcentral.
CCCUUAGAUGUUCUGGGCCGCACGCGCGCUACACUGUUCGACGCAGCGAGUCUUAACCUUGACCGAAAGGUUUGGGUAAUCUUCAGCAAAGUCGAACGUGAUGGGGAUCGAUCAUUGCAAUUAUUGAUCGUGAACGAGGAAUUCCUAGUAAGUGCAAGUCAUCAGCUUGCGCUGAUUACGUCCCUGCCCUUUGUACACACCGCCCGUCGCUACUACCGAUUGAAUGGUUUAGUGAGAUCUCUGGAUUGACGCUGGCUAGGGGGCGACCCUUGGCCAGGCUGUCGAGAAACUUCUCAAACUUGAUCAUUUAGAGGAAGUAAAAGUCGUAACA